This 459-nucleotide ribosomal RNA is filed under the name uncultured bacterium. RNAcentral describes it as "partial 16S ribosomal RNA". It matches the Rfam family "Bacterial small subunit ribosomal RNA", at positions 338 to 795 of the family's 1533-position model. The record is from RNAcentral.
CCUACGGGUGGCAGCAGUGAGGAAUAUUGGUCAAUGGGCGGAAGCCUGAACCAGCCAAGUAGCGUGCAGGAUGACGGCCCUACGGGUUGUAAACUGCUUUUAUACGGGAAUAACGCGCCUUACGUGUAGGGCUUUCCAUGUACCGUAUGAAUAAGGACCGGCUAAUUCCGUGCCAGCAGCCGCGGUAAUACGGGGGAUUCGAGCGUUAUCCGGUUUUAUGGGGUUUAAAGGGUGCGCAGGAGGAAGAUAAAGUCAGUGGUAAAAUUGAGAGGCUAAACCUCUUCGAGCCGUUGAAAGUGGUGUUCUUGAGUGAGUGAGAAGUAUGCGGAAUGCGUGGUGUAGCGGUGAAAUGCAUAGAUAUCACGCAGAACUCCGAUUGCGAAGGCAGCACACCGGCGCUCAACUGACGCUCAUGCACGAAAGUGUGGGUAUCGAACAGGAUUAGAUACCCGGGUAGUC